CCCUUAGAUGUCCUGGGCCGCACGCGCGCUACACUGAUGCACGCAACGAGUUUAUAACCUUGGCCUGAAAGGUCUGGGUAAUCUUUUGAACGUGCAUCGUGAUAGGGAUAGAUUAUUGCAAUUGUUAAUCUUGAACGAGGAAUUCCUAGUAAACGCGAGUCAUCAGCUCGCAUUGAUUACGUCCCUGCCCUUUGUACACACCGCCCGUCGCACCUACCGAUUGAAUGGUUCGGUGAAGAUCUCGGACUUCGAUAUUUAUUCUUUAUUGAGUUUAUAUUGUGGGAAGUUAUCUAAACCUCAUCAUUUAGAGGAAGGUGAAGUCGUAACA
Molecule: ribosomal RNA, 328 nt
Filed under: uncultured eukaryote
Lineage: Eukaryota
Description: partial 18S ribosomal RNA
Rfam family: Eukaryotic small subunit ribosomal RNA
Source: RNAcentral